GCCGAGGUGGUGGAAUUGGUAGACACGCUAGCUUGAGGGGUUAGUGGAGGGAUCUCCGUGCAGGUUCAAGUCCUGUUCUCGGCACCA
This 87-nucleotide transfer RNA is filed under the name Candidatus Marinamargulisbacteria bacterium SCGC AG-414-C22. RNAcentral describes it as "tRNA-Leu". It matches the Rfam family "tRNA". Rfam says of the family: Transfer RNA (tRNA) molecules are approximately 80 nucleotides in length. Their secondary structure includes four short double-helical elements and three loops (D, anti-codon, and T loops). Lineage: Bacteria; Bacillati; Candidatus Margulisiibacteriota; Candidatus Marinamargulisbacteria. The record is from RNAcentral.